UAGUCAUAUGCUUGUCUCAAAGAUUAAGCCAUGCAUGUCUAAGUAUAAACAACUUUGUACUGUGAAACUGCGAAUGGCUCAUUAAAUCAGUUAUAGUUUAUUUGAUUAUACCUUACUACUUGGAUAACCGUGGUAAUUCUAGAGCUAAUACAUGCUAAAAAUCCCGACUUCUGGAAGGGAUGUAUUUAUUAGAUAAAAAACCAAUGCGGGCAACCGCUUUUCUGGUGAUUCAUAAUAACUUUUCGAAUCGCAUGGCCUUGUGCUAGCGAUGUUUCAUU
Molecule: ribosomal RNA, 278 nt
Filed under: uncultured eukaryote
Lineage: Eukaryota
Description: partial 18S ribosomal RNA
Rfam family: Eukaryotic small subunit ribosomal RNA
Source: RNAcentral